This 924-nucleotide long non-coding RNA is filed under the name Homo sapiens (human). RNAcentral's name for it is "non-protein coding MIR124-2HG:8". The record is from RNAcentral. Lineage: Eukaryota; Metazoa; Chordata; Mammalia; Primates; Hominidae.
AGCAAGCGAGGGGGAAAGACCGGACCGCUCCGACCCACCCCCUCCCUACCCCCACCUCCCACCUUAAAGCACCUUAUACCACGGAAGGCUCUCAGCCUCUUCUUUCCUCUGCGAACGCGCUGAGCAGCGAUUGAAAACGUUUUGGUCCUCUGCAGGGGCGCAUUCUGGGGUCUCUGCGCAAGACCAGCUCUCAGCUCUCUCUCCUUUCCUCGGACUCUGGAGCGGGAGCGGGCCUUUCCCUCGGGUCGACCACGCCGUAGGGGACGCCGUGAAAAGAGCCGUCGCGCCCGCUGCCUCCUGCCCGCUGCGCAGAGGGCUCCGCCCGUAGAGGUCAACUUCCCUCACCCUUUUCUCUCUCCUGCUUGCCCUCCCUCCGCCCGGCCCAGGCGCUUCCAGCCCCAGACUGUGGCCACUGGCUGAGGAGUGCGAGUCGGCUGCGCUGCCCUGAGCCUAAUCCCUCUUCCGGGCCCAGACCCGAGGUCCGCGCUCCUGGGCAGUGGGGAAGCUUUAGUGAGCAGGCUUUUCUCUCCGCAGCAAACUUGUAGCCAGACCAGAUGGGCCGCCCAGCUCUCUCGGGACUAGGCAGGUGCGGAUGAGUUAAUUUUUCCGCAUUACAAAGAAAGAUGACCCAGCCCGCCCUUGGACUCUCUUUUCCCAAAAUCUCCCAACCAAACCCGCGGUAACGUUAUCAAAGGACACAGAGCCCAGGCAUAUCUGUGUGUUUAUCUUACAGGCACACACGCAUGGUUUUCUCUUUUAUAUGCUAGAUUUCAUCCCUGACAGCAGAAAAUGAUUGGCAAUGGUUAUGACGGAGAACAUGCAAUAGCGUGGUCCUUAAAAACCUGCCAUUCCUUACAAGUGCCUUAGAAAGGAUUCAGGGCGAACCAACUGGGUUAAUUGCAUUCAGUAAAAUAACACGAUUAC